UCUGGUCUCCUUCCUUUUGAGAGCCUUGGAGCACACACUGGACGUUGUUCCGUUUUAUCAUCUUUUGCACCCACUAAUCAUAGAUUCUUGCUUUAAAUUGAGUUUCCAGUUAAUGCGUCUGGGUAGGAUCCAACAGGGUCAAACUACUGUUUAAAAGUUCCUUAUCAAACUGAAUAAAUAGAGGUGUGUUUGAGUCGGGUACCAACAGCACCAGUAUUCACCAGCACUGGCACCAUGCUCCGUGUAAGGCUCAGCUGGACUCUGUUGCUGGCAGCGACCUGUUUGCUCAGCGGAGCAGAUGCUUCCAUGGAGAAAGCUGUCACCUGUCACAUGGGCGUUGUCCAGAGGUUGAGCUGUGGUACGAUGCAUGUUUACACCUGCACAACCAAAGCGACUCGGCGGGGAUGUGAAAAACCGGCUUGUACAUUUCACUCAGUCAAUGAAACUCUUGGAAUUCAUGAUUUUUGAUUCAUGAUGAUUUUUACAUUUUUUUUCAUCUGAAGGUUCAUCGUCCUAAAUUGGAGACAUUUUUUAAACAAAUACAUAAAUUGGGCCUGCUCUACACUGGGGCAAGAGGGGGCAAUGCCCCCUUAAACAAACUUCCUGCCCCCUUAAGUCAAACUUUUGGAAGUUGAGAAAAAAAAACAGAUUAUCCACAAACUGAUUUUGGACAAGAUUUACUACAGUAGCUGAAAAAAUCUGCCGGGAAAUGUACAAAUGAGAUGAUCGGGUUUAAGUCUUGUUUGCUCUUUUCCUCUGUUGUGUGCAGGCUCACACACUCACCCUCCCCUCAGCUAAACAUCCAAUCACUUUAAGUAUGCAAAUGAUCCAGUGUCCAGUUUCUCAGCAGUGUUGCCAAUUUAGGGACUUUGUUGCUGUCCGACACCCUUAACUACUUUUUAUCUAAAACAACUUCUAAAAGUAGCAACUUCUCACUACUUUUAGGACAGCCAAUAGUGAUGUUUCUUACUGAGGAGUUGGCAACACUGUUUCUCAGUAGGCAGAACAGAGCAGCUAAUCUGUGUGUGGUGUAACCAGAGGUGGGUAGUAACGAGUUACCUUUACUCCGUUACAUUUAAUGAAAAAAAGUACUUUUAAAGUACCUUUUUACUUUUA
Neolamprologus brichardi is the source of this 1116-nucleotide non-coding RNA. Lineage: Eukaryota; Metazoa; Chordata; Actinopteri; Cichliformes; Cichlidae. The record is from RefSeq and is a predicted model, not a curated record.